Molecule: microRNA precursor, 144 nt
Filed under: Gossypium hirsutum (cotton)
Lineage: Eukaryota; Viridiplantae; Streptophyta; Magnoliopsida; Malvales; Malvaceae
Description: MIR7502 microRNA precursor family
Rfam family: MIR7502 microRNA precursor family
Source: Rfam by way of RNAcentral
UAUUAAAAAUUUCAUCAACUUUACCGUUAAAUAAUGACAUUGCUGAUAAAAUAAAUAAUUAAUUAUAUGUGGCGUGCCACGUAUGCCUCAUAUUGACAUACAUUAACCAAUUUUUAAUAGUAGAAACGGAUAAAAUUUUUAAUA